This is a non-coding RNA of Zonotrichia albicollis (white-throated sparrow), 602 nucleotides long. The record is from RefSeq and is a predicted model, not a curated record. NCBI's taxonomy places the organism in Eukaryota, Metazoa, Chordata, Aves, Passeriformes, Passerellidae.
CGCCAGACCGCAGGUACGAGAACGACCAGGGGAAAGAGACAGACAGAGCGACGGACGAAGGCUGCACGGCUGGAGCACAGUUUCAGGUUCAAACGGAGAAGAAGGUGAAACUUUAGAAGGGCACUUUCUCCUGCUCCUCCCUGUUCCAACAUGAGAAUUGUUGGCAGACCAGCCGUCAGCAGGUUCCUGUGGCUUUCUCCAGUGCCAGGUGCAGCAGCAAGGAAGAUAUACUUUACUCUAGAAAGCAGGCAAAUUCCACACUGUCUUUCUGUCAGCCCUACUUGGUUUAGCCCUCCAACACUGGUGGUGGGUGUGCAUUUCCCCUGUUCUGAUUGUCUGCAGCUCUAGCUUAAAUGCUUUUUUGUGUUGAAAUCUCUGUAACACUAAGAAGUUAAAUCCUUCACUGAUUGUAAUGCUGUGUCUCCUUACAAUUUUGUAAAUGUAAGUGGAGCUGAUUCAUAUUUUAAGUUUUAACUCCAUCUGCAAAAAACCAGUUUGAUAGUACUACGCCAUGUCUCUUCAAAUUAUGAGUUUCAUAAGUUACUGGUUUGGAGGGGUUAUAUUUAUGUCUGUGAAGGGAAGGGGAAUUAAAAGUGCCUAUA